CCUACGGGAGGCAGCAGUGAGGAAUAUUGGUCAAUGGGCGGAAGCCUGAACCAGCCAAGUCGCGUGAGGGAUUAAGGCCCUGCGGGUCGUAAACCUCUUUUGCCGGGGAGCAGAGGUCCGGACGUGUCCGGGCCGGGAGAGUACCCGGAGAAAAAGCAUCGGCCAACUCCGUGCCAGCAGCGGCGGUAAUACGGGGGAUGCGAGUGUUAUCCGGAUUUAUUGGGUUUAAAGGGUGCGUAGGCGGGCAUUUAAGCCGGCGGUCAAAUGUCGGGGCUCAACCCCGGCCUGCCGUCGGAACUGGGUGCCUUGAGUGGGCGAGAAGUAUGCGGAAUGCGUGGUGUAGCGGUGAAAUGCAUAGAUAUCACGCAGAACCCCGAUUGCGAAGGCAGCAUACCGGCGCCCUACUGACGCUGAGGCACGAAAGUGCGGGUAUCGAACAGGAUUAGAUACCCCGGUAGUC
Molecule: ribosomal RNA, 460 nt
Filed under: uncultured bacterium
Lineage: Bacteria
Description: partial 16S ribosomal RNA
Rfam family: Bacterial small subunit ribosomal RNA
Source: RNAcentral